CUCUUCUUUUUCUUCUUUUUUCCUCUUCUUAUUUAUUUCUCCUCUUCUUCCUCUCCUCUUCUUCUCCUUUCUUCCUCUUCUUAUUUUCCUUUUUCUCCUCUCAUUCUUUUUCUUCUUCUUCCUUUCCAAGCUAGAUAUUUAAAAAAUUUCUAAAAAAUAAACUAACCUCAAAUGUACUAAAUCUAACUUUUGCAUAUAUGGACAUAUAUACACAAAGAACAUACAAACAUAUAUACAUUUUUAUAAAAAAGCAAAAACAUCAUAUUCUAUAAAAAAUCAUAUACAUAUAAUCUGAAAAAA
RNAcentral lists this long non-coding RNA (300 nucleotides) under Hordeum vulgare. RNAcentral's name for it is "long non-coding RNA (HVUL_LNC014033)". Lineage: Eukaryota; Viridiplantae; Streptophyta; Magnoliopsida; Poales; Poaceae. The record is from RNAcentral.